Molecule: long non-coding RNA, 392 nt
Organism: Mesocricetus auratus (golden hamster)
Lineage: Eukaryota; Metazoa; Chordata; Mammalia; Rodentia; Cricetidae
Exons: 4
Source: RefSeq, a predicted model, not a curated record
CUGGAGCUCUAAGAUUUUGGGGGCGUUGGAGUUCUCCUGGGAACUUGGGCUGCCCGAGAACAUCUGGUUGUCAAGUCCAGGAUCUCCACCCAUUGGAUGCUGCUGGAAAGAGAGUAGAACUUCCUGCCUUGGUUAGCACCAUCUGGAAAUUCCCCUGCAGGUCCGCCCAGAGGUUUUCCUUCCAGGGACAUCAAGGCUGCCAGAAGAUGAAACCCACUUAUCUCACACCCUGCGCAAUGUAAAACACACACAAUCGAUGUGUCACCUCCUAAUGCACUCGCUGAAGUACGCGCACCUUCACGGGAAAACCUGCAUUAAGUUAUUACCAAAUGAAGAGCCUUCCUCCAGUGGCUGAUGGAAGCAGAAGCAGACACCCGCAGCUAAACACUGAG